GGAUGUUCUUCAAGUGCAGUCCAAAUCAGUAUACAAAUAUCGGAGGACUGGAAAUGUAUGGCGCAAUGCUCCCAGACGGCUUCGAUUCGAAACCUGACCCCAGCCAGGGACCGGAUCUUGUUCUGAGGCAAACACAGUGGCCACCGUGUUGAAAAGCUGCAACCUACACCAUCUAUAAAAACUGCCUGAAAUCAUGAAAUAAAAAUAAAAGUAUCAUUGCAA
Molecule: long non-coding RNA, 222 nt
Organism: Armigeres subalbatus
Lineage: Eukaryota; Metazoa; Arthropoda; Insecta; Diptera; Culicidae
Exons: 2
Source: RefSeq, a predicted model, not a curated record